This 342-nucleotide ribosomal RNA is filed under the name uncultured bacterium. Its description in RNAcentral is "bacterial SSU rRNA". It matches the Rfam family "Bacterial small subunit ribosomal RNA", at positions 29 to 362 of the family's 1533-position model. The record is from RNAcentral.
AAUGAACGCUGGCGGCGCGCCUAAUACAUGCAAGUCGAGCGAGAAGACGUAGCAAUACGUUUGUAAAGCGGCGAACGGGUGAGGAAUACAUGGGUAACCUACCCUAGAGUGGGGAAUAACUAGCCGAAAGGUUAGCUAAUACCGCGUACGCUCCUUGGACUUCGGUUCAGGGAGGAAAGCGAUGCCGAGGGUAUCGCGCUCUUGGAUGGGCUCAUGUCCUAUCAGCUUGNGGUGAGGUAACGGCUCACCAAGGCUUCGACGGGUAGCUGGUCUGAGAGGACGAUCAGCCACACUGGCACUGCGACACGGGCCAGACUCCUACGGGAGGCAGCAGUAAGGAAU